GCCGCGUUGGUCAAGAGGUGAAGACGUUUCCCUUUCACGGAAAAAACACAGGUUCGAGUCCUGUACGUGGUA
RNAcentral lists this transfer RNA (72 nucleotides) under Chitinophaga jiangningensis. It matches the Rfam family "tRNA". Rfam says of the family: Transfer RNA (tRNA) molecules are approximately 80 nucleotides in length. Their secondary structure includes four short double-helical elements and three loops (D, anti-codon, and T loops). The record is from Rfam by way of RNAcentral. RNAcentral also lists the same sequence under 2 other names. Lineage: Bacteria; Pseudomonadati; Bacteroidota; Chitinophagia; Chitinophagales; Chitinophagaceae.